RNAcentral lists this small nuclear RNA (111 nucleotides) under Ursus thibetanus thibetanus. RNAcentral describes it as "U2 spliceosomal RNA (ENSUTTG00000021738.1)". It matches the Rfam family "U2 spliceosomal RNA". From Rfam's summary of the family: U2 is a small nuclear RNA (snRNA) component of the spliceosome (involved in pre-mRNA splicing). Complementary binding between U2 snRNA (in an area lying towards the 5' end but 3' to hairpin I) and the branchpoint sequence (BPS) of the intron results the bulging out of an unpaired adenosine, on the BPS, which initiates a nucleophilic attack at the intronic 5' splice site, thus starting the first of two transesterification reactions that mediate splicing. The record is from RNAcentral. Lineage: Eukaryota; Metazoa; Chordata; Mammalia; Carnivora; Ursidae.
AUCGCUUCUCGGCCUUUUGGCUAAGAUCAAGUAUAGUAUCUGUUCUUAUCAGUUUAAUGGGCAAAGGACCUGAAUAGACAUUUUGAAUCGGCAUUUUUCCAAAGAAGAUAU